Molecule: long non-coding RNA, 1039 nt
Organism: Cyprinus carpio (common carp)
Lineage: Eukaryota; Metazoa; Chordata; Actinopteri; Cypriniformes; Cyprinidae
Exons: 3
Source: RefSeq, a predicted model, not a curated record
UACAAGCCCUGUGUUGAAGAUGGUAGAUGUUCAACAUUUCCUGCCAUUUCAGAACUCCACACAGAAACAUGUUCUUCUUUUGAUAUGUGGUUUUUGAUAAGAGGUUAGUAAAUUAUUCAACCGAGCAAAAUGUGUGCCCAAAUGGAAGCAGGACUCUGUACAUGCUGUAAGUCAGAUGCAAUUUACUGUAAAUUAAAAAAAAAAAAAAAAAAAAUCCCUCGCGAAUGACAGUGUUAAUAAUUUAAAAUGAAUGUGCAAUAUCCAUAAUGGUCAUCACAAACACGUUUCCAUAUGUAAUAUGCAUGGCAGUUUCCAACAUUCAUACAAUAGAAGGUGAUGUAGUGUGAUUAUUUACAAUAUUUGUUAAUUUAGGAUUGUUUUGGGGGGUUGUGUGUGUGUGACUGAUUUAGCUGAAACUUGUUAUUCUUGGUGGUUUAAAUGACCUUACAUCUAAUCUUUUACCAGUCACUGCUCCUGAUAGGCUGAUGUGGUCCCACUCCAUUAUUUGGUUGCAGCUCCAUCAGUGGUCCCUGGUAAGGUAGAUAAAAGCAAGCUGAAGAAGCCAGUCUUUGUCGUGCCCCACGUCUCUGUAGUAGUCCCACUCCACUGUUUGGUCAUUGAUCCUUGGCUCUCCUGUUAUAUUGUAGUGGUGAGACUGUAGAAGGACCCAAAAAGAAGACCCAAGAUGAUGAGAAUGUUUCAGUGGACAAUGGUGGUGGUGGUGCUGCUGCUUUUACCACAUGACUGUCCAAUCAAACAGCCUGUUAAGCCUAAACACAAUCCCCACCCCCUAUACACACUCCUUUUUUCCACCUUUCAUCUGCUUGCAUCCCUGUAGUUUCCAUUAAAUGUAUAUUAAAUACAAUUUUCGCAAAAUAUUGAGGUAUUUUUGUCACCUUAUACAUAUAUGCAUAGAGAAGACAAUAAUUGUGAUACUUUUGUCACUUUCACAUAGACGACAACAUUCAACAAAAUACAAAUUAAUUAAAAGAAGCAAACAAUGUCUAUAAAUGAAAUUAGUAUGCAUUAUAUUAAUAAA